RNAcentral lists this ribosomal RNA (301 nucleotides) under uncultured soil bacterium. RNAcentral's name for it is "bacterial SSU rRNA". It matches the Rfam family "Bacterial small subunit ribosomal RNA", at positions 24 to 326 of the family's 1533-position model. The record is from RNAcentral.
UCAGAUUGAACGCUGGCGGCAUGCCUUACACAUGCAAGUCGAACGGCAGCACGGGAGCAAUCCUGGUGGCGAGUGGCGAACGGGUGAGUAAUACAUCGGAACGUGCCCAAUCGUGGGGGAUAACGCAGCGAAAGCUGUGCUAAUACCGCAUAAGGAUCUACGGAUGAAAGCAGGGGAUCGCAAGACCUUGCGCGAAUGGAGCGGCCGAUGGCAGAUUAGGUAGUUGGUGAGGUAAAGGCUCACCAAGCCUUCGAUCUGUAGCUGGUCUGGAGAGGACGACCAGCCACACUGGACUGAGACA